RNAcentral lists this ribosomal RNA (425 nucleotides) under uncultured cyanobacterium. RNAcentral's name for it is "bacterial SSU rRNA". It matches the Rfam family "Bacterial small subunit ribosomal RNA", at positions 356 to 795 of the family's 1533-position model. Lineage: Bacteria; Bacillati; Cyanobacteriota. The record is from RNAcentral.
GGGGAAUUUUCCGCAAUGGGCGCAAGCCUGACGGAGCAAUACCGCGUGAGGGAGGAAGGCUCUUGGGUUGUAAACCUCUUUUCUCAGGGAAGAAGGCAAUGACGGUACCUGAGGAAUCAGCAUCGGCUAACUCCGUGCCAGCAGCCGCGGUAAUACGGAGGAUGCAAGCGUUAUCCGGAAUGAUUGGGCGUAAAGCGUCCGCAGGUGGUUAUAAAAGUCUGUUGUUAAAGCCCACAGCUCAACUGUGGAUCGGCAAUGGAAACUGUAUGACUUGAGUGUGGUAGGGGUAGAGGGAAUUCCUAGUGUAGCGGUGAAAUGCGUAGAUAUUAGGAAGAACACCAGUGGCGAAGGCGCUCUACUGGGCCAUAACUGACACUGAUGGACGAAAGCUAGGGGAGCGAAAGGGAUUAGAUACCCCAGUAGUC